AGCAGAGUGGCGCAGUGGAAGCGUGCUGGGCUCUUAACCCAAAGAUCCGUAGAUCGAAACCGCACUCUGCUA
Non-coding RNA from Trichonephila inaurata madagascariensis, 72 nucleotides. NCBI's taxonomy places the organism in Eukaryota, Metazoa, Arthropoda, Arachnida, Araneae, Nephilidae. The record is from the annotation of a GenBank genome assembly.